This 443-nucleotide ribosomal RNA is filed under the name uncultured bacterium. Its description in RNAcentral is "partial 16S ribosomal RNA". It matches the Rfam family "Bacterial small subunit ribosomal RNA", at positions 338 to 795 of the family's 1533-position model. The record is from RNAcentral.
CCUACGGGUGGCAGCAGUGGGGAAUAUUGCACAAUGGGCGGAACCCUGAUGCAGCGACGCCGCGUGAAGGAAGAAGGGUUUCGGUUCGUAAAGUUCUAUCAGCAGGGACGAAAGAAAUGACGGUACCUGACUAAGAAGCCCCGGCUAACUACGUGCCAGCAGCCGCGGUAAUACGUAGGGGGCAAGCGUUAUCCGGAGUUACUGGGUGUAAAGGGUGAGUAGGCGGCAUGGCAAGCCUGAAGUGAAAGCCUGGGGCUUAACCCGAGGAUUGCAUUUGAAACUGUAAGGCUGGAGUGCAGGAGAGGAAAGCGGAAUUCCUAGUGUAGCGGUGAAAUGCGUAGAUAUUAGGAGGAACACCAGUGGCGAAGGCGGCUUUCUGGACUGAAACUGACGCUGAGGCACGAAAGCGUGGGGAGCGAACAGGAUUAGAUACCCGUGUAGUC